AGCGAACGCUGGCGGCAGGCCUAACACAUGCAAGUCGAACGAACCUUUCGGGGUUAGUGGCGGACGGGUGAGUAACACGUGGGAACGUGCCUUUAGGUUCGGAAUACCUCAGGGAAACUUGUGCUAAUACCGAAUGUGCCCUUCGGGGGCAAGAUUUAUCGCCUUUAGAGCGGCCCGCGUCUGAUUAGCUAGUUGGGUGAGGAAAUGGCUCACCAAGGCGACGAUCAGUAGCUGGUCUGAGAGGAUGAUCAGCCACAUUGGGACUGAGACACGGCCCAGACUCCUACGCGAGGCAGCAGUGGGUAAUCUAGCGCAAUGGGCGAAAGCCUGACGCAGCCAUGCCGCGUGAAUGAUGAAGGUCUUAGGAUUGUAAAAUUCUUUCACCGGGGACGAUAAUGACGGUACCCGGAGAAGAAGCCCCGGCUAACUUCGUG
This 434-nucleotide ribosomal RNA is filed under the name uncultured bacterium. RNAcentral describes it as "partial 16S ribosomal RNA". It matches the Rfam family "Bacterial small subunit ribosomal RNA", at positions 29 to 507 of the family's 1533-position model. The record is from RNAcentral.